AAGGAUCAUUACAAAUCCAACGUCUCCUCUUUGAGACACCGUUGAAACAGUGAGGAGGUGACUGGUGGCUGGGUGGCUUGCUGUCUCACGACGACUUGCCCCCAUCUCACCGGUCACCACCUUUACACAUCCCAGAAAUCGUUGAUCAUUUGUAUGCUUCUUAACAAAGAAACAACUUAUACCAAUGGAUCUCUAGGCUCUU
This 202-nucleotide unclassified non-coding RNA is filed under the name uncultured fungus. RNAcentral's name for it is "partial contains 18S rRNA, ITS1, 5.8S rRNA, ITS2 and 28S rRNA". The record is from RNAcentral. Lineage: Eukaryota; Fungi.